CGCGUAGAAAUCUGCCUAGUAGUGGGGGACAACCUGGUGAAAACCAGGCUAAUACCGCAUACGUCCUACGGGAGAAAGCGGGGGAUCUUCGGACCUCGCGCUAUUAGAUGAGUCUGCGUAAGAUUAGCUUGUUGGUGGGGUAAAAGCCUACCAAGGCGACGAUCUUUAGCUGGUCUGAGAGGACGAUCAGCCACACUGGAACUGAGACACGGUCCAGACUCCUACGGGAGGCAGCAGUGGGGAAUAUUGCACAAUGGGCGAAAGCCUGAUGCAGCCAUGCCGCGUGUGUGAAGAAGGCCC
Molecule: ribosomal RNA, 300 nt
Filed under: uncultured Alteromonadales bacterium
Lineage: Bacteria; Pseudomonadati; Pseudomonadota; Gammaproteobacteria; Alteromonadales
Description: bacterial SSU rRNA
Rfam family: Bacterial small subunit ribosomal RNA
Source: RNAcentral